Paramuricea clavata is the source of this 810-nucleotide non-coding RNA. Lineage: Eukaryota; Metazoa; Cnidaria; Anthozoa; Malacalcyonacea; Plexauridae. The record is from the annotation of a GenBank genome assembly.
UGUAAGGUGUGUACGCCGGACAUGUCCGGUGUACAAACACAAACUUUGGCGUACAUAAUGGCGUACAUUUGUUUACAUAGACUAGUAAUUGUUCAAAUUCAACAAAGAUGGACCAAAUAGGUUUAUACUAAAAAGGUGUAUUUGGAACUUUUGCACAUCUACAUUUCCAAAAUUGGCGUACAGUUACAUGUUCCUGAAUCGAUGUCUGGCGUGCAAAAAGUUAACUUUCCAGACUGGUCGACAGGGGGUGUACGGAUUUUAAAUGGAAUAGCCCUUUACAUGGUUUGACUUUAGUUGGAUGAAUAACCACUUCCUUGUGUCGAUUCAAUACAUGUAUUGAUAUUUUCAUAAAGGGAAUAUUUUUAUAUUUAACAGACGAGUGUACUUGUCAUAAAAUUGAUAAAUGUCUACAUUUAAUCAUUUUUUAUAAAUAUACAUAUUUCAAUACCUGUUUCAUAGCUUUAAUUCUGUUCAGAAGAUUUGUUCCAUCAGUCACUAUCAUAUCUGCUGCAUUAUCAUCUUCUUUCAGUUUUAACAUUAAUCUUUUCGCAUCCAACAAUAGCUGCUCCAUCUUGAAUAAUCGAGGAAAAUGUCCGACUGUUUAAAAUUGCUUGUUUCUGUAAUAUCACACAACGUUUGUUCAAACCACGGGCACGGUUAAUAGCCGUGGUCAAACUUGACACACUUUUACGAACAAAGCACUUAUGAUGAACCAUAUGAUGGAUUUACAGUUGAUUAUGCAGCUAAAAACUUAACGUAAAUGAUAAAUCUUUAUACUACGAUAUAAUUUCACUCAGUAUUGGACUCCAU